UAGUGUUAAUGGGAGUCAUAUGAGUUAAUCCUUCAGAAUCUAAAGGAGACUAUACAGUGUAUUUUAUAUCUCUAAACAAAAUUGACCUGUGAGGCAAGAAAGAGGCCUCUCUCCGGGAAGCUGUUCUUUUGAACUGUGAGUCUCACUGAAGACUGCUGGGCAGUGUGUUGGGAUCUGGCCAUUACCCCAGCUGUACAGGAUUGUGGGCGCUGCUAUCAACACUAAAGCCUUCUAGUUCUAAAGGCUGUAUCCGGUCUCCUGCUCAGUGGUGUAGUGCACCAAGUCCUCUGGGUCUCCGAGCAUGUGGACACAUACAAGGAAUCCGGCAGUGUUGGACUGAGUCUCAAAGAGGAAAGACAUCAAGCCAUUCUAGACGU
This is a long non-coding RNA of Gavialis gangeticus (Gharial), 377 nucleotides long. RefSeq lists it as uncharacterized. NCBI's taxonomy places the organism in Eukaryota, Metazoa, Chordata, Crocodylia, Gavialidae. The record is from RefSeq and is a predicted model, not a curated record. The transcript is spliced from 3 exons.